AUUGAACGCUGGCGGCAGGCCUAACACAUGCAAGUCGAGCGGCAGCGGAAAGUAGCUUGCUACUUUGCCGGCGAGCGGCGGACGGGUGAGUAAUGUCUGGGAAACUGCCUGAUGGAGGGGGAUAACUACUGGAAACGGUGGCUAAUACCGCAUAACGUCGCAAGACCAAAGUGGGGGACCUUCGGGCCUCACGCCAUCGGAUGUGCCCAGAUGGGAUUAGCUAGUAGGUGGGGUAAUGGCUCACCUAGGCGACGAUCCCUAGCUGGUCUGAGAGGAUGACCAGCCACACUGGAACUGAGACACGGUCCAGACUCCUACGGGAGGCAGCAGUGGGGAAUAUUGCACAAUGGGCGCAAGCCUGAUGCAGCCAUGCCGCGUGUGUGAAGAAGGCCUUCGGGUUGUAAAGCACUUUCAGCGAGGAGGAAGGCAUCAUACUUAAUACGUGUGGUGAUUGACGUUACUCGCAGAAGAAGCACCGGCUAACUCCGUGCCAGCAGCCGCGGUAAUACGGAGGGUGCAAGCGUUAAUCGGAAUUACUGGGCGUAGAGCGCACGCAGGCGGNUUGUUAANUCANAUGUGAAAUCCCCGCGCUUAACGUGGGAACUGCAUUUGAAACUGGCAAGCUANA
Molecule: ribosomal RNA, 628 nt
Filed under: uncultured prokaryote
Description: bacterial SSU rRNA
Rfam family: Bacterial small subunit ribosomal RNA
Source: RNAcentral